GGAAAAAACACACACAUGUUCAUAGUAUGGCUGAGAGCAAGAAACCACAGGGACAGAGGGUUCAGGAGCAGAAAAAGCAUUGACCUGAGCACUGCAGAGGGGCAGAACCAGGAGCAGUGCCCUGGCUGACAGCAGCUGCUGCUCAAUCACAGCUGCGUUGCCCCCCACACUGCUGCCCUCCUCCACCUGUGCUGUAAGUAUCCUCACACCCCACACACGGCACUCUGCUAUGCAGUUAUUUUAACCCAGCACUGCUGUGAGCUAAUUGGCCGUGCUGCAAGGAGAAAUAGUUGGGAUUAAUUAGUGUUUCGCCACUGAAGAAAGCACCGUGUUGUUGCAUUUGCCUCAGUUGGAGCCCUCUGACCACAGUUCCACGGACACCUUCAUGUAUGAAUACACAAAGCUCUGCUUUGGGUUGGGACAGACUGGGACUGUGGGAGGUGUAACCACCUCCUCGCACACAACUUCAAUGCUUUAUGAUGGAUGCAAGGCACUGUACCCAAUUUUCAGCAGCCCCAUCAGUGAAGUCCUCUUAUGACCUCUUAUUCUUCCCUCCCAGGGAAGCACAUCAUCCUCCAGGAACACAGGACAGGGAAAAAGGGCAGGAGCUGCAAGAACAGCUGCCUCACCAGGCAACACAACUCCGGGCAUUGCAGUCCUUGUGAACCUUCCCUCCUCUCCUCUUUUCUUUCUCUACAAGGAACCACAGACAUAUAUGAAAACAACACCUUCCAUCAAACUGUAUUAACCAAGCAUCCCCAUAGGCAGAGCCCAGAUGCAGGUGGGGCAGCCCAGCUGCUCAUUUCUCAUGGCAAUACCAACGUUGUCUCUGUUCCUACAAAGUAAAUCACGGUGUCAUCUUCAAACAUCAGCUUACUAAAACUCAACUCUGUUCUAAUCCCAUUAGGUUUUGGUAUUGACUUUAAAGAAGAAAGGGGUAAGCUCUUACCCACUGCCACUCUGAGCAUACGGGUUAAUUACCAGCAGCUCCUCUUUCCAUUUAUUUUCACUUUUACUAUGCAUACAAAAAUCAAUUCUCUCCAUAAAUUAUAACCAUGCUCCCUCUGAAUUCCCUGACCUGGGUGUGGACAGCAGCAAAGGAGGUUUAAACAAGAUGAUCAUUUGUGCAAGUGCUGCAAGGAGCCGGAAUAGCUACACCAUCAUGGAAACGUGUUGGAAUGAAUUCAUUGCCAUCUGUCUUUAUUUUGCUAACCAGCUCAAUCAGACACCACAAAUAUACUCAAACAUGAGAAAAAUAUUUAAAUUAUUUGUGCUAGGUCCUUUUUUCAACAUGGAACUCUCCCUGUCAUUGGUUUUUAUCAGUACUGAAUGCCCAUCAGUAGCAGUGAAUUCACUCUUACACUGCCUUUAGAACACAUCUGUCCAACUUCAAAUCCACUUUGUAUUAACAAUGUAAAAAAUAUAUAUAUGUGUGAAAAAGUUAUGAUAUUACAAAUACUAUACAGCUGUGCAAGGAAGUGCAACAAAAAUUACAAAUAGCUGGUGGUUCUGCCACAAUGAUU
Molecule: long non-coding RNA, 1523 nt
Filed under: Phasianus colchicus (ring-necked pheasant)
Lineage: Eukaryota; Metazoa; Chordata; Aves; Galliformes; Phasianidae
Description: lncRNA (ENSPCLG00000006093.1)
Source: RNAcentral